RNAcentral lists this transfer RNA (72 nucleotides) under Bacteroides phage crAss001. It matches the Rfam family "tRNA". From Rfam's summary of the family: Transfer RNA (tRNA) molecules are approximately 80 nucleotides in length. Lineage: Duplodnaviria; Heunggongvirae; Uroviricota; Caudoviricetes; Crassvirales; Steigviridae. The record is from Rfam by way of RNAcentral. RNAcentral also lists the same sequence under 3 other names.
GGGUUGUUAGCUCAAUGGUGGAGCAAGUGGCUGUUAACCACGAGGCUAUAGGUUCGAGUCCUAUACUUCCCG